This 253-nucleotide ribosomal RNA is filed under the name uncultured bacterium. RNAcentral describes it as "partial 16S ribosomal RNA". It matches the Rfam family "Bacterial small subunit ribosomal RNA", at positions 524 to 776 of the family's 1533-position model. The record is from RNAcentral.
UACGUAGGUGGCAAGCGUUGUCCGGAAUUACUGGGUGUAAAGGGCGCGUAGGCGGGAAUGCAAGUCAGAUGUGAAAUCUCAAGGCUUAACCUUGAAACUGCAUCUGAAACUGUAUUUCUUGAGUGUCGGAGAGGAGAGCGGAAUUCCCCGUGUAGCGGUGAAAUGCGUAGAUAUGGGGAGGAACACCGGUGGCGAAGGCGGCUUUCUGGACGAUAACUGACGCUGAGGCGCGAAAGCGUGGGUAGCAAACAGG